Molecule: ribosomal RNA, 253 nt
Filed under: uncultured bacterium
Lineage: Bacteria
Description: partial 16S ribosomal RNA
Rfam family: Bacterial small subunit ribosomal RNA
Source: RNAcentral
UACGUAGGUGGCAAGCGUUGUCCGGAUUUACUGGGCGUAAAGAGCGCGCAGGCGGUCGUUCAAGUCGGAUGUGAAAGCCCCCGGCUCAACUGGGGAGGGUCAUUCGAUACUGAUCGACUCGAAGGCAGGAGAGGGAAGCGGAAUUCCCGGUGUAGUGGUGAAAUGCGUAGAUAUCGAGAGGAACACCUGCGGCGAAGGCGGGUUGCUGGGCUGAUACUGACGCUGAGGCGCGAAAGCCAGGGGAGCGAACGGG